RNAcentral lists this small nucleolar RNA (129 nucleotides) under Erinaceus europaeus (western European hedgehog). RNAcentral describes it as "Small nucleolar RNA SNORA1 (ENSEEUG00000021022.1)". The record is from RNAcentral. Lineage: Eukaryota; Metazoa; Chordata; Mammalia; Eulipotyphla; Erinaceidae.
AUCCUUCUUCUAGAUGAAAAUAGACAUUGUUGCUUUUGGUGUUCAGAGAUAGAUGUGGCUACCCUGAUACAGGUUAACCUUCCACCACAGCACCUUACCUCAGUGGGGACAAAGAGGCCAGCAACAUGC